AUUGAACGCUGGCGGCAGGCCUAACACAUGCGAGUCGAGCGGAUGAAGGGAGCUUGCUCCUGGAUUCAGCGGCGGACGGGUGAGUAAUGCCUAGGAAUCUGCCUGGUAGUGGGGGAUAACGUCCGGAAACGGGCGCUAAUACCGCAUACGUCCUGAGGGAGAAAGUGGGGGAUCUUCGGACCUCACGCUAUCAGAUGAGCCUAGGUCGGAUUAGCUAGUUGGUGGGGUAAAGGCCUACCAAGGCGACGAUCCGUAACUGGUCUGAGAGGAUGAUCAGUCACACUGGAACAGAGACACGGUCCAGACUCCUACGGGAGGCAGCAGUGGGGAAUAUUGGACAAUGGGCGAAAGCCUGAUCCAGCCAUGCCGCGUGUGUGAAGAAGGUCUUCGGAUUGUAAAGCACUUUAAGUUGGGAGGAAGGGCAGUAAGUUAAUACCUUGCUGUUUUGACGUUACCAACAGAAUAAGCACCGGCUAACUUCGUG
RNAcentral lists this ribosomal RNA (484 nucleotides) under uncultured bacterium. RNAcentral describes it as "partial 16S ribosomal RNA". It matches the Rfam family "Bacterial small subunit ribosomal RNA", at positions 30 to 507 of the family's 1533-position model. The record is from RNAcentral.